This 982-nucleotide ribosomal RNA is filed under the name uncultured bacterium. RNAcentral describes it as "bacterial SSU rRNA". It matches the Rfam family "Bacterial small subunit ribosomal RNA", at positions 521 to 1502 of the family's 1533-position model. The record is from RNAcentral.
UAAUACGGGAGUGGCAAGCGUUAUCCGGAAUUAUUGGGCGUAAAGCGUCCGCAGGCGGCCCUUCAAGUCUGCUGUUAAAAAGUGGAGCUUAACUCCAUCAUGGCAGUGGAAACUGUUGGGCUUGAGUGUGGUAGGGGCAGAGGGAAUUCCCGGUGUAGCGGUGAAAUGCGUAGAUAUCGGGAAGAACACCAGUGGCGAAGGCGCUCUGCUGGGCCAUCACUGACGCUCAUGGACGAAAGCCAGGGGAGCGAAAGGGAUUAGAUACCCCUGUAGUCCUGGCCGUAAACGAUGAACACUAGGUGUCGGGGGAAUCGACCCCCUCGGUGUCGUAGCCAACGCGUUAAGUGUUCCGCCUGGGGAGUACGCACGCAAGUGUGAAACUCAAAGGAAUUGACGGGGGCCCGCACAAGCGGUGGAGUAUGUGGUUUAAUUCGAUGCAACGCGAAGAACCUUACCAGGGUUUGACAUCCUGCGAAUCUCUUGGAAACAGGAGAGUGCCUUCGGGAACGCAGUGACAGGUGGUGCAUGGCUGUCGUCAGCUCGUGUCGUGAGAUGUUGGGUUAAGUCCCGCAACGAGCGCAACCCACGUCUUUAGUUGCCAGCAUUUAGUUGGGCACUCUAGAGAGACUGCCGGUGAUAAACCGGAGGAAGGUGUGGAUGACGUCAAGUCAUCAUGCCCCUUACAUCCUGGGCUACACACGUACUACAAUGCUACGGACAAAGGGCUGCAAGUUCGCGAGGACAAGCAAAUCCCAUAAACCGUGGCUCAGUUCAGAUCGUAGGCUGCAACUCGCCUACGUGAAGGCGGAAUCGCUAGUAAUCGCAGGUCAGCAUACUGCGGUGAAUACGUUCCCGGGCCUUGUACACACCGCCCGUCACACCAUGGAAGUUGGCCACGCCCGAAGCCGUUACUCCAACCCUUGUGGAGGAGGACGUCGAAGGUGGGGCUGAUGACUGGGGUGAAGUCGUAACAAGGUAGCCG